CGAGCGGGGUGAUGGUGCUUGCACUAUCACUUAGCGGCGGACGGGUGAGUAAUGCUUAGGAAUCUGCCUAUUAGUGGGGGACAACAUUUCGAAAGGAAUGCUAAUACCGCAUACGUCCUACGGGAGAAAGCAGGGGAUCUUCGGACCUUGCGCUAAUAGAUGAGCCUAAGUCGGAUUAGCUAGUUGGUGGGGUAAAGGCCUACCAAGGCGACGAUCUGUAGCGGGUCUGAGAGGAUGAUCCGCCACACUGGGACUGAGACACGGCCCAGACUCCUACGGGAGGCAGCAGUGGGGAAUAUUGGACAAUGGGCGCAAGCCUGAUCCAGCCAUGCCGCGUGUGUGAAGAAGGCCUUAUGGUUGUAAAGCACUUUAAGCGAGGAGGAGGCUACUUUAGUUAAUACCUAGAGAUAGUGGACGUUACUCGCAGAAUAAGCACCGGCUAACUCUGUGCCAGCAGCCGCGGUAAUACAGAGGGUGCAAGCGUUAAUCGGAUUUACUGGGCGUAAAGCGCGCGUAGGCGGCUAAUUAAGUCAAAUGUGAAAUCCCCGAGCUUAACUUGGGAAUUGCAUUCGAUACUGGUUAGCUAGAGUGUGGGAGAGGAUGGUAGAAUUCCAGGUGUAGCGGUGAAAUGCGUAGAGAUCUGGAGGAAUACCGAUGGCGAAGGCAGCCAUCUGGCCUAACACUGACGCUGAGGUGCGAAAGCAUGGGGAGCAAACAGGAUUAGAUACCCUGGUAGUCCAUGCCGUAAACGAUGUCUACUAGCCGUUGG
RNAcentral lists this ribosomal RNA (769 nucleotides) under Acinetobacter rhizosphaerae. RNAcentral's name for it is "bacterial SSU rRNA". It matches the Rfam family "Bacterial small subunit ribosomal RNA", at positions 63 to 826 of the family's 1533-position model. The record is from RNAcentral. Lineage: Bacteria; Pseudomonadati; Pseudomonadota; Gammaproteobacteria; Moraxellales; Moraxellaceae.